UACCUAGUUAAGCUUGUUGAGUGUGGAGGGUCAAGGGAUGUUGCUACAGGCUGAAUAUUUUUGUUCCCUCAGAAUUCAUCUGUUGAAACCUAAUCCCCAAUGUGAUGGUAUUCACAGCUGGAGCUUGUAGGAGGUGGUUAGGUUAUGAGGGUGGAGCCCUCAGGAUUGGGAUUAGCGACCUUCAAAGGAGACAGUAGCAUGCUCCUUCCACCAUGUGAAGAAACAGUGGGAAGAUAGCCAGCCAUCUUUGAACCAGGAAGAAGGAUCUCAUCAGAUACCCAGGCUGCCAUCGCCGUUAUCUUGGACUGCCCAGCCUCUGGAACUGUGAGAACUCAAUGUUUGCUGUUUAAGUUACCCAGGCCUUGACUAUAAUGCCAUGCUCAGGAUGUAAAAGAGGCAUACUCCAAAGGGCAGCAUUUUAAGUAAAAGCAUCAAAUCAUAACCAAACGACUUCCAGAGAAAUCAGCCAAGAGACUGCAGCAAGAGUCAGAGAAAGCCUUCAAACCCCUAAGUGUUUUCAAAAAACUUCCCAAACAGCACUUUUGUGGGAGGGGCAUGCUCUAAGUGACAUUGUUUCACACCCAAUUUGUUGUGCAUAGUUUAUCCUGCCUUGCAUGCCAAUUGGAUUGCAGAAAUGCUUUGUAUGCAGCCUGGGAAAGGUAUAAAGGACGUAAGUAAUGCAGGCUUGACUGUACUAUAUGGUAAUCGGAGCUUUGCACCUCACACAGGCCUCAUCACGGAUGUCACGUUUUCUAAAAUCUUGCCCUUUAGAAUAGACCUCCUAUUCUUUUUAGAGUUGGCAUGGACAUGUACUUUAUCAUUCUCAGAUAUGAAAUAUGUGGUUUCAAAGAGCAGUAGAUUCAGAAAAAGGAGAAUUUUUAAAAAAUUCAAUUGCAAAUGGAGGACAAAUUGGUGACCUAGAAGGCUUGUGAUCAUGGUACAGGUCCUAACUAUUGAAUAUUUUUCAGUUCCCACUUGUAAUGAUGUCACCAGGAAAUUAGCAUGUUGUAUAAGUUUGUGGCAUAUUCGCAUUUAAGUUAAAUGGUAACAGGUAAUCUAUCCAGGUUUUGCCUUAACUAAAAUCACUAGGUAAGUUCUAGUACUUUUAUUGAGUCGUGUUUCAUUGCUCAUUGUAUAAAAGCACAUAAAAUUUUUGAGAGAUAGGUGUUUGCUUAUUUCGCUCAAUGCUCUUUACUGCCAUUUUCCCAGUAUCUGGUAGAAUGUUGAAUAGUGGAGAGAGUAGAAAUAUUUUCCUUGUUUUCUGUCUUUGGGUAACAGCUUUCAAUGCUUCACACUUACGUAUAAAACUACCCUUAGCUUUCUCACAGAUAGCCUUCAUCCACUCAAGGACUUUUUCUUCUAUUAUUAGUUUAAUGAGAAUUGUUUUCAUGCAUAGAUGUUGAAUUAUUUCAAAUACUUUUACUGUUUCUGUUGAAAGGAUCAUAUGGCUUUUCUGCCUUAUUCUACUCAUAUGAAAGUGAUGUUGACUGGUUUUCAAUUGAUGGACGAACCUUGUAUGGCUGGAAUAAGCCCCACCUGGUCAUGAUGUAUUAUUCUCUGCACAAAUUGCUGGAUUCAUUUGCUAUGUUGUUAAAGAUUUUGUGUAUAUGUUCAUGAGGGAUAUUGAGCUUAAAAAGAACCUGGAAUGGUGAAUCUGCUUUGAUGUUUCUAUCCAUGAAGAAUAUUUGAUGGAGUAUAAUAUUUCUGCCUUGAGAUUUUGCAGCAUCUCCCAGAUCUGUGUGGAAUUUGUUCAGAUUAAAGCUCCCGGCUGUCCUUCUUGGUCCUGCCUUGUGAGUUUCUCCUUGUGAAUGCACAGAACAAUGUGCUUCUCUUUGAUUGCGACCCUCUCCAUCCUUUCUAGAGGAAAACAUUGGCUAUUGUGGAAGAUUAGCCCUGAGCUAACUACUGCCAGUCCUCCUAUUUUUUGCUGAGGAAGCCUGGCCCUGAGCUAGCAUCCGUGCCUACCUUCCUCUACUUUAUACGUGGGACACCUACCACAGCAUGGCAUGCCAAGCGGUGCCAUGUCCUCACUUGGGAUCCGAACCUACGAACCCCAGGCCACCGAGAAGCGGAACAUGUUUAUUUGGAUUCCCAUUUUUAUUCGGGUUUCUAGUGGUUACUGUAGAAAUCCCAGCAUGCUCCUCUAAGUCUUCUGCGGCCCUGGGAAGUGGUCUGCAUCCACCUCUGAGGCUCUCCUUUCACGUGAGUGAGAAGACUGCUAUGGUUUCAAACACAGAGCUUGCCUCUGGCUGAUUAUCUCACAUGGAUUAUUUAGUUUCUAUUGCCCCGUGGACCUGAACCUCCAAACACCUCUGCCUGACUCUGAACGCAGAGAGAUCAGACCUUCAUAAAUACAAAGAGUCAUUCUCAAGAAUGUGAACAAUGACUUUAUUUGUGAAAAUGAAUAACACUGAAAUCUUAUUUAUUGAUUCAGAAGAGGACUUAAGAUAUAUCAUUCUGGACCCCUUAUAUUCAGAUCCUCAUUUAGUGAGAACUGCCAAAAUUCAUCUAAUCAGUUUUCACAGCAACAUUUAAGAAAUACAAUAUGCUUAUAACUUUACAAAGAGAGGAAUUUCAGAAAGUACAAUUUUGAAUUCCAUCAUUACUACUGCAAUCAUAUUCUCAAGGUAUGAGGCAAAAUAAUGUGGAACUGCUAGUUACAUGUAAGUAUAUUUGACAUUUUCAGCAGUCCUCCUCCAAAAGAAAAGAAAAAGAGAGAAUGAAGAAUCAGAAAAUGACGGUUUGUACCAGAAUAGAAACACUACUAUCUGAGAAAAAAAAAUGCAUCUGGUUCCACAUAGUUGAAUGAAAUUUCUUCUAUUCAAACAGCGCAGUGCUUCAAACUCCAGACCCCUCUUGUCUCUACCACCUGGCAUAAUGAUUAUUCCCGGAUAAAUCUGAAUCAGCAAAGUGUAAAAUGUGGAGACUUCGUUUUAGAACAAUGCCAUGAAAAAAUCGGAAGCAUCUUAAUAGGAAGCUUAACGUGCCAAGUAUUAUCAUGUUGAUUUCCUGACCUGAUUUUCCAUCUCUGAUAUGAAGAGUCGCUCCUUGGUUCACUGGUGCUGUGCCUGAUUCGGUCUUCCGCUGAGUCUUUGCUACCAAAAGUGAAAGUAGUUAAGAUAGUUUAAUAAGUGCCGUUAUAAUGAACCAGCGGUCUCCAAGCCCUGUGCUUUAAAAAUCCAAUAAGCUGACUUUGCACUAUUUAACUCUGUUAAUUAGAGUAAGCGCCACCUGAAGGAAAUGAGACGUGGAGGACGGAUGUAACUGUAGCUUUGUGUUUUUUCCUUCUCCCAUUUCUACCCCGACCUAUGUGAAGGGGAGAGAGGCCAUAAUUGUAAUAAGGAUCCAGGCCACUUAAUAAAUGUUUAAUUGCAUUCAGAUCUGUUCACUUAGCUUACGAGUUAUUGUCAGCCCGUUAAUGGACCGUUAAUUAAAAAGCAUAUUCAAUGAGGUGAGGAUCAUUUUCAUGUGGAAGGUUUCUACCUGCCUUUGGAGUCCUGAUGGACAGUCUCUGCUAAUUAGCAUCAUUUCACAGAAGACCAAACCUUUGUGCCAUUUAAUAAAAUAUAGCUCAUGACAGCAGCAUAACGUAUGAAGGAACGAUAGCUAGGGUUAAGGACCAAAUUUGGCAGUGUGGCUGCAAAUUAAGAAAGAAUGAAGGUACAUAAGAAAGCUUUAAAGCUAUAAGUAAAAGGGGAAGUGUGCAAGCUCUAAAAAAUUUUUUGUAUUUUUUAAUAUAUUUUAUAGAAAAUGUGUCUGUUAAUACUCGGUCAGUUUUUGCCUUUGAUUCGUAGAACAAUUCCUCUUCCUUCGCAUUCAUUUCCCAGGACACUGUAUUUUACUACAUUUGUGAUUUCAAAAAUUCAACAUAAAAGCUGCUUUCUAGAUAUUUUUUAAGUUUAUGAUAUUAAAGAAUAAUAUAUUUCAAUAAAUUUUAUAAUAUAUUUUGCAUGCCUACUAAGGGAAAGUCACUGUUUUGGGGAAUAAAUUUUAGUUUUAAUUUCUUUCGUGAAUUGUGCAGAUGCUGUUGUAGAAAUAGGACAAGGUCCUCUAUCUUGUGGUGAUUUACACUUGAUAUUUUGGAAAAUAUACUCUUCAUACAGGUGCACUAAAUUAAUAGCACAUUUAACAACUCAAUUUUUUUUUUAAAGAUUUUAUUUUUUCCUUUUUCUCCCCAAAGCC
Molecule: long non-coding RNA, 4182 nt
Organism: Equus caballus (horse)
Lineage: Eukaryota; Metazoa; Chordata; Mammalia; Perissodactyla; Equidae
Source: Ensembl